RNAcentral lists this ribosomal RNA (497 nucleotides) under uncultured bacterium. RNAcentral describes it as "partial 16S ribosomal RNA". It matches the Rfam family "Bacterial small subunit ribosomal RNA", at positions 28 to 507 of the family's 1533-position model. The record is from RNAcentral.
GAUGAACGCUGGCGGCGUGCCUAAUACAUGCAAGUCGAGCGAACAGACGAGGAGCUUGCUCCUCUGACGUUAGCGGCGGACGGGUGAGUAACACGUGGAUAACCUACCUAUAAGACUGGGAUAACUUCGGGAAACCGGAGCUAAUACCGGAUAAUAUAUUGAACCGCAUGGUUCAAUAGUGAAAGACGGUUUUGCUGUCACUUAUAGAUGGAUCCGCGCCGCAUUAGCUAGUUGGUAAGGUAACGGCUUACCAAGGCGACGAUGCGUAGCCGACCUGAGAGGGUGAUCGGCCACACUGGAACUGGGACACGGUCCAGACUCCUACGGGAGGCAGAAGUAGGGAAUCUUCCGCAAUGGGCGAAAGCCUGACGGAGCAACGCCGCGUGAGUGAUGAAGGUCUUCGGAUCGUAAAACUCUGUUAUUAGGGAAGAACAAAUGUGUAAGUAACUAUGCACGUCUUGACGGUACCUAAUCAGAAAGCCACGGCUAACUACGUG